This 16-nucleotide ribosomal RNA is filed under the name Fraxinus xanthoxyloides. RNAcentral's name for it is "partial 26S ribosomal RNA". The record is from RNAcentral. Lineage: Eukaryota; Viridiplantae; Streptophyta; Magnoliopsida; Lamiales; Oleaceae.
GCGCACCUCGACAGCG